AGGACUUACGGUAACUAACUUUUUCUGAUUGUGUCAUAUUCGUUCUUAUUUUACAAACUAUGGUUUGUUGUGCCCUGCCAGCGGCCCUCGACAUGACGAAGUUACAGUUUCUAAAUGUAUAUUUGACCGAACGGUUGAUGUCAGCUGCCUAAUAGAUAUGAGACCAUAUUAAAAUACAAGGACGAAAUACUGUAAUACACUGAAAGAGCGAAUGAUCAACUGAGACGCAAACUGCACAGAAAUGGGAUUCCAUUGCCAGACCGAGAGUCCUCGACUCUUAUAGAGCUUGAGGAGGGAGCCAUUGGGUUGAAGCAUGAACCAGAACCCAGGCAAACUAUGGAGAAACAGGAGGGAAGGACCAGGAAGGAGGAAAAGCAACUUAGAGGACUAGACUCUGUCUAGAUGUCUCUCCUUACAAUGGAAAUGAUGGCUAUGAGCAGAACACACCUCAUUCAGUCAGUUCCAAACGCACACUGGGGAGAGUAGAGAGGGUGGCUCUCUGUCCAGCUCAUCAAUAUCCAAACCAAUCAAAACAGAGACUGAAGGACUGGGUGUUUGUCCAUUUGAUCCGUCAAGUGACCCCAAUACAUUCUCUUCGUCAGUGAACCUUGACCUUUCGGCAGGACAGAAUGAGAACAGUGUAAGUAUGAUGGGGGUGGAAGGUGGUGAAGGACUACUGUCAGGGUUUGAGGCGCUACAGAUACCACUACACAUGGAACAGUCCCUUCAAAAUCACUACAACACAGCAUUGUGUUGCAAGGUGUGUGGGAAACCCUGUAGACAUAUGGGCCAUUUAAACGCACACAUGCAAAUGCACAUGAAAGAGAAGCCAUUACUCUGCGGGGUUUGUGGUAAGUGCUUUAGCUCGCCGGGGAGGUUGAAAGGGUGUUAGCGGAUUCACACAGGGGAGAAGCUCUAUCAGUGCCAUAUCUGUAGGAAACGGUGCAAUCAGACCGCACACCUGAAAGUGCAUCCGAGUGUCCACACAGGAGAAAAACUGUUCAGUUGUCCUGUGUGUGGCAAGUGCUUCAGCCACUCCGACAAAAUUAAACGUCACCUCCAGACCCACAGCCGUGAAGCCGUGAAGGCACCUAGGCUUGUGAUUUUUUUUCUCUUUCUCUCAAAGAGCUAGGGAUUCUGCGACUUUCUUAGAGAAUGUUCUCUGAGUAACACUUCUCCAUGCCAUAGUCUCUUUCUCUCAUGCAAUAGGUUUUGUAUUGCAUUAUAGUCAAUUUAGUGUUUCUUUUUGUACAUGUCACUGAAUGGAGUUUUUGUGAAUCUUUAAAAACACAACAUUUUAUGAGUUAGUUGCUAGUCUUUCUGAAUUAUACUGAACAAAAAUAUGGUGUGGCAUAUCAAGAAGCUUAUUAAAGAGCAAGGUUCAUUAGACAGGUGCACCUUGUGCUGGGGACAAUAAAAGGCCUCUGUAAAAUGGGCAGUUUUGUCACACAACACAGUGCUACAGAUGUCUCAUGUUUUGAGGGAGCGUGCAGUUGACAUGCUGUCUGAAGGAAUGUCCACCAGAGCUGUUGCCAGAAAAUGUUAUGUUAAUUUCUCUACCAUAAGCUGGCUCCAGUGUUGUUUUAGAGAAUUUGGCAGUACAUCCAACUGGCUGUUUAAUCAGCUUAUUAAUAUGCCACACCUGUCAGCUGGAUGGAUUUUCUUGGCAACGGAGAAAUGCUCACUAAUGCAGUUGCUUCACAAAUUUGUGCUCAACAUUUUAGAGAAAUUAGAGAAAUUGUGCGAAUGGAAACAUGGCACCAACACAUGUUGCGUUUAUAUUUUUGUUCAGUAUAACUGUGUUACUUGUUCGCGAGGGUUGGUCCUGAGCUAGGCUCUGCUGCACAUACAGGUAACUGCUAAAAUAAUGAAAGACGGCGCCGACAGACAUGGCAGCUCUGCUUCUAGAUCCUAAGCAACUUUGCGAUAUUACAGCACUGUUGGAGCUAGGAACACAACCAUUUCGCUACACCUGCAAUAACAUCUGCUAAACAUGUGUGUGUGACCAAUAACAUCUGCUAAACAUGUGUAUGUGACCAAUAAAAUGUGAUUCAAUUUAACGGAAAUACUUCAGUAAAUGAGCAAUACGAAGUAUAUUGAAAACAGGUGCUUCCACACAGGUGUGGUUCCUGAGUUAAUUACCCAAUUAACAUCCAAUCAUGCUUAGGGUCAUGUGAAAAAUGCUGGGCAGGCCAUUAUUUUGGCUACCAUGGCAAUGUCCCCAUCCACCGAGCACGAGUGUUCAGUGAAUGGUUUGAUGAGCAUGAAAACAAUUUAAACCAUUUGCCAUGGCUGUCUCAGUCACCAGAUCCCAACCCAAUUGAACACUUAUGGGAGACUCUGGAGCACCGCCAGAGACAGCAUUUUCAACCACCAUCGACAAAACACCAUAUUAUGGAUUUUCUUGUGGAAGUAUGGUGUUGCAUCCCUCCAAUAGAGUUCCAGACACUUGUAACAUCUAUGCCAAUGUCCAUUGAAGUUGUUCUGGCUCGUGGUGCCAACGCCCCAUUAAGAUAUUUUAUGUUGCAGUUACCUGUAUAUUCACUAUAGCAAAGAUCUGUGGCCCAUUGUUUGGAAGUGAAACAGACAUUUUUGUCAGACCCAGAUCAAUGCUUCUCCUGGAAUUAAAAGUACUUUAGAUACUGUGUAUAUAUAUAUAUAAGGUCCUAGUAUUAAACAUGUCAUCUCCAAUAGUUCACUGUAAACAGUAAUGAGUUAGAAUGGUCCCCUGGAGGUUUUUGUCUAGUUCCCGGUUUGUCCUGGGGACGUCACUUGAUGGGAAUUAUUAUUUAACAUGUCCUCACCACCUGUGAGGUUUUGCUGUUUAUAGUGUGCGGAUUCGUCAAUUCUUUGUCGAUACAUUCUGUCUGUAUAUUGUGUUUAUCAUCUAUUUUCACCGUUUCACCAAAUCAAAUUCCGGAUAUAUGUAAAUGUCCUUUGUGAAUAAAGGUAACUCUGUUUCUGAAUGUUA
Oncorhynchus kisutch (coho salmon) is the source of this 2971-nucleotide long non-coding RNA. RefSeq lists it as uncharacterized. The record is from RefSeq and is a predicted model, not a curated record. The transcript is spliced from 2 exons. Lineage: Eukaryota; Metazoa; Chordata; Actinopteri; Salmoniformes; Salmonidae.